CCAGAUGUUGACAAGAAAGCUGAUGAAUUUAUAGCCAAAUUUAGAGAGCAGAUUAGGCUUCAGAGAAUUGAAUCAAUCAGAAGAUCAGCAGGACAACCUGCUAGAAACCUUGUAAGAUAACCUUGUUCUAUUUAAUGUGAUCAAAUUCACCUUAUUUAGUUAUAUGGUUGGCAAUUUCAUAAAGGCAGGAAAACCUGCUAGAAACAUUGUAAGAUAACCUUGUUCUAUUUAAGGUGAUCAAAUUCACCUUAUUUAGUUCUAUGGUUGACAGUUUCAUAAGAGAAGUUUUCUUUUUCAGUUUCACAAUAUAUACAUCCUGAGUUUUCUGGUGUAUAGAUAUUUUAUUGUAAUUAUAAUGUAAUUACCACUGCUUCCUGUAACUUAUUUAAUGUCAUGGGUUGUAUUCCAUACACGCCCCAUGACCUCUGGGUAGCGCCCCAUGGCGACCUAGCAAGCCUCUCAAUGCGUAGCGCCAUGGUCGGCCCCGUGGUCUUGGCUGCGCCAAGUGACAAGUGCCCAUGCGCCUCUGUCGCCCCAUCGAGGCAUCUCACCACCGCCCAGCGGCUGUCCAAUGACAACAGCGCCUCGCGCAUUGACAAUGCUGCGCGCGCAAACCCUGAUGCCUUGCCGCCGCCAGGCCCCUUCCAGCAGCACUUCGCGCACAGAUCCUGAUGUCAAGCUCCAACGCCCAGCCUCAGGCAAACACAACAAGUGUCGCACGCGCCCACAACACUACGCCCGCAGACCCUGACCCGCAAGACAAAGUUGCGGCCAUCAGACUUGGUUUGUACAUUGUAAUAAACUAAGUCCUCUUUCA
RNAcentral lists this long non-coding RNA (817 nucleotides) under Nicotiana benthamiana. RNAcentral's name for it is "long non-coding RNA (NBEN_LNC041606)". Lineage: Eukaryota; Viridiplantae; Streptophyta; Magnoliopsida; Solanales; Solanaceae. The record is from RNAcentral.